RNAcentral lists this ribosomal RNA (464 nucleotides) under uncultured bacterium. RNAcentral's name for it is "partial 16S ribosomal RNA". It matches the Rfam family "Bacterial small subunit ribosomal RNA", at positions 28 to 506 of the family's 1533-position model. The record is from RNAcentral.
GACGAACGCUGGCGGCGUGCUUAACACAUGCAAGUCGAACGGAAAGGCCCUGCUUGCAGGGUACUCGAGUGGCGAACGGGUGAGUAACACGUGGGUGAUCUGCCCUGCACUUCGGGAUAAGCCUGGGAAACUGGGUCUAAUACCGGAUAUGACCUUCCAUGUAGUGUGGGGGGUGGAAAGAUUUAUCGGUGUGGGUUGAGCCCGCGGCCUAUCAGCUUGUUGGUGGGGUAAUGGCCUACGAAGGCGUCGACGGGUAGCCGGCCUGGGAGGGUGGACGGCCACAUGGGGCCUGAGAUACGGCCCAGACUCCUGCGGGAGGCAACGGUGGGGAGUAUUGCACAAUGGGCGGAAGCCUUAUGCAGCGACGCCGCGUGGGGGAUGACGGCCUUCGGGUUGUAAACCUCUUUCGACAGGGACGAAGCUUCGGUGACGGUACCUGUAUAAGAAGCACCGGCGACCUACGU